Long non-coding RNA from Canis lupus familiaris (dog), 364 nucleotides. RefSeq lists it as uncharacterized. NCBI's taxonomy places the organism in Eukaryota, Metazoa, Chordata, Mammalia, Carnivora, Canidae. The record is from RefSeq and is a predicted model, not a curated record. The transcript has 3 exons.
AGAGGGACAAAAUUGAUGGCAGAGAGGCCAGUUAGGAGACCAUUGUUCUAGGGGAGCAAAAAUGAAGACCUGCACUUGGCCGUAGAAGGAAGGCAAGCUUCAAAAAAUGUUUAGAAGAUUGACAGAACUUGAUCAUUGAUCGAAUGUUGGGAAAGUGAGGGAUAGGAAAGAUUCAGUUUCUAACGUGGCUGAUCAGGAGGAUUGGAUCAGGUUUCCCCUCUCUACAUACAUAAUUACAGUUAUCUCUAUUGACUCAAGAAUUGAAGGCCGAUUUUAAAUUAUUCUAAAGAAAACCUAAUGAUGAAGACCUUCAGCAUUUUUAUAAUAGCCAAAAAGUGGAAGCAAUCCAAAUGUUCAUCACCUG